AGAGAUCCCAGAUUACAGGAAUGCAGUAAUCGUGGCCAAGUCUCCAGCCUCGGCGAAGAGGGUCUCCCUCUGUCGCCCAGUGUGGAGUGCAGUGGUGCGAUCUCGGCUCACUACAACCUCCACCUCCUGGAUUCAAGCGAUUCUCUUGCCUCAGCCUCCUAAGUAGCUGGGAUUACAGACGUGCGCCACCAUGCCCAGCUAAUUUUUGUAUUUUUGGUAGACAUGGGGUUUCACCAUGCUGGUAAGGCUCUUCUCGAACUCCUGACCUCAAGUGAUCUGCCCGCCUCGGCCUCCCAAACAAAGUGUUGGGAUAACAGGCGUGAGCCACUGUUGGGAUAACAGGCGUGAGCCACUGCGUUUAGUGGUUAGUGCCUUUAGAAUCCUGAAGUUAUUGAAUAGGUCUAAGUGCAGAGCUAUUGUUUUGGAGUUGUUUGACAAUGAGCAGUUGUUUUGACUAAAAGGGAUCAUCAGAGAAAGUGUUGCUUUUGUAAGGAACAGAACUUGCUUGAAUGAGUUGUUUGAAAUUGUUUUCUCUGAAUAACUGAGUGAAUAGGAAACAAAAGGAUAGCUGAGGCCCUGUGUCUUGUUCUUUCUCACCCAUGAUGUAAAUUAACUCUCAUUAUUGUACAAUCAGGAUCAAGUUGCUUUAGAAUUCCUCUCUGUCAGUGCAUGAAACAAAAUGACACAGAGAAACCAUCCUGAUUGAUUUUGGAAUUAGAUGGGAAUGCAAAGUAUCUGAUUAAGUUAUAUGGAAUAUCCAGAAGCUCCCAUUGCUGUGCAGGUAAUAAUUUUAUUUAUUUAUUAUUUUACUUAUUUAUUUUUUUGAGACA
Molecule: small RNA, 830 nt
Filed under: Pan troglodytes (chimpanzee)
Lineage: Eukaryota; Metazoa; Chordata; Mammalia; Primates; Hominidae
Description: processed transcript
Source: RNAcentral